Molecule: ribosomal RNA, 630 nt
Filed under: uncultured Sulfuritalea sp.
Lineage: Bacteria; Pseudomonadati; Pseudomonadota; Betaproteobacteria; Nitrosomonadales; Sterolibacteriaceae
Description: bacterial SSU rRNA
Rfam family: Bacterial small subunit ribosomal RNA
Source: RNAcentral
AGGGUUUGAUCCUGGCUCAGAUUGAACGCUGGCGGAAUGCUUUACACAUGCAAGUCGAGCGGCAGCGCGGGGGCAACCCUGGCGGCGAGCGGCGAACGGGUGAGUAAUGUAUCGGAACGUACCCAGUCGUGGGGGAUAACUAUCCGAAAGGAUAGCUAAUACCGCAUACGUCCUGAGGGAGAAAGCGGGGGACCGUAAGGCCUCGCGCGAUUGGAGCGGCCGAUAUCGGAUUAGCUAGUUGGUGAGGUAAAGGCUCACCAAGGCGACGAUCCGUAGCUGGUCUGAGAGGACGACCAGCCACACUGGAACUGAGACACGGUCCAGACUCCUACGGGAGGCAGCAGUGGGGAAUUUUGGACAAUGGGGGCAACCCUGAUCCAGCCAUUCCGCGUGAGUGAAGAAGGCCUUCGGGUUGUAAAGCUCUUUCAGCAGGAACGAAACGGUGGCUCCUAAUACGAGUUACUAAUGACGGUACCUGAAGAAGAAGCACCGGCUAACUACGUGCCAGCAGCCGCGGUAAUACGUAGGGUGCGAGCGUUAAUCGGAAUUACUGGGCGUAAAGCGUGCGCAGGCGGUUAUAUAAGACAGAUGUGAAAUCCCCGGGCUUAACCUGGGAACUGCGUUUGUGAC